CGUUAUAACCGGCGAUUUCCGAAUGGGGAAACCCAGUGUGUUUCGACACACUAUCAUUAACUGAAUCCAUAGGUUAAUGAGGCGAACCGGGGGAACUGAAACAUCUAAGUACCCCGAGGAAAAGAAAUCAACCGAGAUUCCCCCAGUAGCGGCGAGCGAACGGGGAGGAGCCCAGAGCCUGAAUCAGUGUGUGUGUUAGUGGAAGCGUCUGGAAAGGCGCGCGAUACAGGGUGACAGCCCCGUACACAAAAAUGCACAUAUUGUGAGCUCGAUGAGUAGGGCGGGACACGUGGUAUCCUGUCUGAAUAUGGGGGGACCAUCCUCCAAGGCUAAAUACUCCUGACUGACCGAUAGUGAACCAGUACCGU
RNAcentral lists this ribosomal RNA (368 nucleotides) under Escherichia coli. RNAcentral describes it as "partial 23S ribosomal RNA". It matches the Rfam family "Bacterial large subunit ribosomal RNA", at positions 96 to 504 of the family's 2925-position model. The record is from RNAcentral. Lineage: Bacteria; Pseudomonadati; Pseudomonadota; Gammaproteobacteria; Enterobacterales; Enterobacteriaceae.